UUUUUUGGAUUUUUUU
This 16-nucleotide small RNA is filed under the name Arabidopsis thaliana (thale cress). RNAcentral's name for it is "ATSL285680". Lineage: Eukaryota; Viridiplantae; Streptophyta; Magnoliopsida; Brassicales; Brassicaceae. The record is from RNAcentral.